RNAcentral lists this ribosomal RNA (465 nucleotides) under uncultured bacterium. Its description in RNAcentral is "bacterial SSU rRNA". It matches the Rfam family "Bacterial small subunit ribosomal RNA", at positions 338 to 795 of the family's 1533-position model. The record is from RNAcentral.
CCUACGGGCUGCACCAGUGGGGAAUUUUGGACAAUGGGUGCAAGCCUGAUCCAGCAAUGCCGCGUGAGUGAAGAAGGCCUUCGGGUUGUAAAGCUCUUUUGUCAGGGAAGAAACGGCUGCGGCUAAUAUCUGCGGCUAAUGACGGUACCUGAAGAAUAAGCACCGGCUAACUACGUGCCAGCAGCCGCGGUAAUACGUAGGGUGCAAGCGUUAAUCGGAAUUACUGGGCGUAAAGCGUGCGCAGGCGGUUUAGUAAGUCUGACGUGAAAUCCCCGGGCUCAACCUGGGAAUUGCGUUGGAGACUGCAAGGCUGGAGUCUGGCAGAGGGGGGUAGAAUUCCACGUGUAGCAGUGAAAUGCGUAGAGAUGCGGAGGAACACCGAUGGCGAAGGCAGCCCCCUGGGUCAAGACUGACGCUCAUGCACGAAAGCGUGGGGAGCAAACAGGAUUAGAUACCCCUGUAGUC